Molecule: ribosomal RNA, 477 nt
Filed under: Fusarium sp. AC_7
Lineage: Eukaryota; Fungi; Ascomycota; Sordariomycetes; Hypocreales; Nectriaceae
Description: eukaryotic LSU rRNA
Rfam family: 5.8S ribosomal RNA (bases 111-264)
Source: RNAcentral
UUGUUGCCUCGGCGGAUCAGCCCGCUCCCGGUAAAACGGGACGGCCCGCCAGAGGACCCCUAAACUCUGUUUCUAUAUGUAACUUCUGAGUAAAACCAUAAAUAAAUCAAAACUUUCAACAACGGAUCUCUUGGUUCUGGCAUCGAUGAAGAACGCAGCAAAAUGCGAUAAGUAAUGUGAAUUGCAGAAUUCAGUGAAUCAUCGAAUCUUUGAACGCACAUUGCGCCCGCCAGUAUUCUGGCGGGCAUGCCUGUUCGAGCGUCAUUUCAACCCUCAAGCCCCCGGGUUUGGUGUUGGGGAUCGGCGAGCCCUUGCGGCAAGCCGGCCCCGAAAUCUAGUGGCGGUCUCGCUGCAGCUUCCAUUGCGUAGUAGUAAAACCCUCGCAACUGGUACGCGGCGCGGCCAAGCCGUUAAACCCCCAACUUCUGAAUGUUGACCUCGGAUCAGGUAGGAAUACCCGCUGAACUUAAGCAUAUC